AUACGUAGGGAGCGAGCGUUGUCCGGAAUUACUGGGUGUAAAGGGAGCGUAGGCGGGAGUGCAAGUCAGAUGUGAAAUACAUGGGCUCAACCCAUGGGCUGCAUUUGAAACUGCAUUUCUUGAGUGAAGUAGAGGUAAGCGGAAUUCCUGGUGUAGCGGUGAAAUGCGUAGAUAUCAGGAGGAACACCGGUGGCGAAGGCGGCUUACUGGGCUUUUACUGACGCUGAGGCUCGAAAGCGUGGGGAGUAAACAGGAUUAGAUACCCUGGUAGUCCACGCUGUAAACGAUGAUUACUAGGUGUGGGGGGACUGACCCCUUCCGUGCCGCAGUUAACACAAUAAGUAAUCCACCUGGGGAGUACGGCCGCAAGGUUGAAACUCAAAUGAAUUGGCGGGG
RNAcentral lists this ribosomal RNA (396 nucleotides) under uncultured bacterium. RNAcentral's name for it is "partial 16S ribosomal RNA". It matches the Rfam family "Bacterial small subunit ribosomal RNA", at positions 523 to 918 of the family's 1533-position model. The record is from RNAcentral.